RNAcentral lists this ribosomal RNA (541 nucleotides) under Debaryomyces hansenii. Its description in RNAcentral is "eukaryotic LSU rRNA". It matches the Rfam family "Eukaryotic large subunit ribosomal RNA", at positions 62 to 608 of the family's 3401-position model. Lineage: Eukaryota; Fungi; Ascomycota; Pichiomycetes; Serinales; Debaryomycetaceae. The record is from RNAcentral.
AAACCAACAGGGAUUGCCUUAGUAACGGCGAGUGAAGCGGCAAAAGCUCAAAUUUGAAAUCUGGCACCUUCGGUGUCCGAGUUGUAAUUUGAAGAAGGUAACUUUGGAGUUGGCUCUUGUCUAUGUUCCUUGGAACAGGACGUCACAGAGGGUGAGAAUCCCGUGCGAUGAGAUGCCCAAUUCUAUGUAAAGUGCUUUCGAAGAGUCGAGUUGUUUGGGAAUGCAGCUCUAAGUGGGUGGUAAAUUCCAUCUAAAGCUAAAUAUUGGCGAGAGACCGAUAGCGAACAAGUACAGUGAUGGAAAGAUGAAAAGAACUUUGAAAAGAGAGUGAAAAAGUACGUGAAAUUGUUGAAAGGGAAGGGCUUGAGAUCAGACUUGGUAUUUUGCGAUCCUUUCCUUCUUGGUUGGGUUCCUCGCAGCUUACUGGGCCAGCAUCGGUUUGGAUGGUAGGAUAAUGACUAAGGAAUGUGGCUCUACUUCGGUGGAGUGUUAUAGCCUUGGUUGAUACUGCCUGUCUAGACCGAGGACUGCGUCUUUGACU